RNAcentral lists this signal recognition particle RNA (301 nucleotides) under Sus scrofa (pig). Its description in RNAcentral is "Metazoan signal recognition particle RNA (ENSSSCG00000026069.3)". It matches the Rfam family "Metazoan signal recognition particle RNA". Rfam says of the family: The signal recognition particle (SRP) is a universally conserved ribonucleoprotein. Lineage: Eukaryota; Metazoa; Chordata; Mammalia; Artiodactyla; Suidae. The record is from RNAcentral.
GCCGUAUGCGGUGGUGCGCGCCUGUAGUCCCAGCUACUCGGGAGGCUGAGGCUGGAGGAUAGCUUGAGCCCAGGAGUUCUGGGCUGCAGUGCACUUUGGAGAUAGGGUGUCCGCACUAAGUUUGGCAGCAAUACAGUGACCCUCUGGGAGCAGAGGACCACCAGGUUGGCAAAGAGGAGUGAACCGGCCCAGAUCAGAAACGGAGCAGGUCAAAACUCCCGUGCUGAUAAGGAAGAAAGAAAAGAAAGACUAGGCCAAAGACUCUUUCAGAGACAAUGGCUAGAAACUAGAUUACUGUUAU